CGAUUCGGCCAUGUGCCGUUUUCACUGACGCUAUGCAAUCAGGCCGCCGACCGACUAUCCCCUCGACUAGCACCUCGCGCGUACUCCGAAUCCUUUUUCGUUCGGUUUUCUUUCCGUAAACGGUUCAAUGGGUUACGCGCGAGACAGGUGUUGGGGGGGGGGGAGGAAACUACUUCGUGCAACCACGACUGGAGGACAUGUGCACAGCGAUUUAGGUUUGGUGGCACCGUACUUGUUAUCAACGCUGUCGUCGCGGUCCUGGUUGCGAUGAACGCAGUGGGUCGCAGAUUUUUCUCACAUUUCCGCUCGUUAGACUAUAAUACCCGUUACACUACAGGUAGUGUACCCCGUUUGCAGUAAACUGUUGUUAUAGUUACGUCUGCUCCGCAGGAUACCGAUACAACCGUGAUUCGUCCCGCACAAGCAUUUCGCGUACGCUGCACAGCGGUCGGUUGAUUUCAAGAACGUUGCCGCAAUGGACCGGUUUAAUAUACUAAGUUUUGAUUAUUGAUAAUACCACGAACAGUUCCAAUAACGAAUAAGUCAUUAAGCCAAUAAGCCAUUCAGUAAAAUGAGAAACAAAUCGAAAAUUUAGAAUUACUUUGAAAAGUAUCCGUCUGAAGGCCUUUACAUAGUUUGUUGGAAAUAAAAAUUGUAAAGGUGGAAACACAGUGAAUUCCGCUUAUAAAACUUACUUUGGGACCAGCAUAAAGUUGUCUAUUAACGCGGGUACACACACAAAUAAGUGCAUCGAUCAGUAAAUCAUUUAAAAAAUCUGAAAUGUAAUAUUUUCUGUAAUGCAGUCCACGGGUAACCCAUUAAAGCCGCAAUAUUAGUGUAUAUUGGUGUAUAUAUAGACUAAAAUAAUUUAUUGCAUACCAUCGAUGAAUUUAAUUUUAAUAUGGACUGUGCGGUGGUUAUACAUUUAUAUAUAUGGUUGUACACACACAUACAUAAUACAAUAUAGUCAACGGUUUUCACACGGACCGAAACACUCGAAAUUCCAAGUCCACUCACUAAUUCAGCCACUUGACGGCGAUUUUUAAAAUAAUAAUAAUCAAUUUCAUAAACAUUUAUAUAUAUGAAGGUAUAAUAACAUAACUGCCAUCACCGUCAUACUAAAUUACUAUAAAGGUUAUAUUAUAUAAUUGUCGGCAUAAAAGCUUAUUCACGUUAUAACUGUCAAAAAUAUAUCGUACACAACACGUUUUGUAUAUUAUAUUUAUAAAAUGAAUAACAUUGUGUAGAAAUAAUUUUUUUAUGUUUUUCUUACUCUCAUUAUACACCCAC
Molecule: long non-coding RNA, 1290 nt
Organism: Sipha flava (yellow sugarcane aphid)
Lineage: Eukaryota; Metazoa; Arthropoda; Insecta; Hemiptera; Aphididae
Exons: 3
Source: RefSeq, a predicted model, not a curated record